Molecule: ribosomal RNA, 253 nt
Filed under: uncultured bacterium
Lineage: Bacteria
Description: partial 16S ribosomal RNA
Rfam family: Bacterial small subunit ribosomal RNA
Source: RNAcentral
UACAGAGGUCUCAAGCGUUGUUCGGAUUCAUUGGGCGUAAAGGGUGCGUAGGUGGCGCCAUAAGUCAGGUGUGAAAUCUCGGGGCUUAACUCCGAAACUGCAUUUGAUACUGUGGUGCUUGAGGACUGGAGAGGAGACUGGAAUUCACGGUGUAGCAGUGAAAUGCGUAGAUAUCGUGAGGAAGACCAGUGGCGAAGGCGGGUCUCUGGACAGUUCCUGACGCUGAGGCGCGAAGGCCAGGGGAGCAAACGGG